GGAUGUGAGGGCGAUCUGGCUGCGACAUCUGUCACCCCACUCAUCGCCAGGGUUGAUGUGGCUGAUCUGCCUGGCUCAGCGGGUGUCCCCUUCCUCCCUAACCGCUCCAUGUGUACCUCUCCCGAAGCUGGGCACUCAGUUGAAGAGGAUGAUCAUCCCCGAUAGAGGAGGACCAGCCUUUGUUCAAGGGUAUACGAGUAGCUGCACUCCCCCGCUAGAACCUCCAAACAAGCUCUCAAGGUCCAGAGACAUGAUGUGAACUCCAGGUCUUAGUUGAUGAUCACGUGGCUGUGCAGUGGUGCAGAUUGUGUCUUUGA
This 317-nucleotide small nuclear RNA is filed under the name Callithrix jacchus (white-tufted-ear marmoset). Its description in RNAcentral is "7SK RNA". It matches the Rfam family "7SK RNA". Rfam says of the family: 7SK was discovered as an abundant small nuclear RNA in the mid-70s but a possible function has only recently been suggested. Two independent studies have found that 7SK RNA binds the CDK9/cyclin T complex (known as elongation factor P-TEFb). The record is from Rfam by way of RNAcentral. Lineage: Eukaryota; Metazoa; Chordata; Mammalia; Primates; Cebidae.